RNAcentral lists this ribosomal RNA (253 nucleotides) under uncultured bacterium. RNAcentral's name for it is "partial 16S ribosomal RNA". It matches the Rfam family "Bacterial small subunit ribosomal RNA", at positions 524 to 776 of the family's 1533-position model. The record is from RNAcentral.
UACGGAGGGUGCAAGCGUUAUCCGGAUUCACUGGGUUUAGAGGGUGCGUAGGUGGGCAGGUAAGUCAGUGGUGAAAUCUUUGGGCUUAACCCGAAAACUGCCAUUGAUACUAUUUGUCUUGAAUAUUGUGGAGGUCAGCGGAAUAUGUCAUGUAGCGGUGAAAUGCUUAGAUAUGACAUAGAACACCAAUUGCGAAGGCAGCUGACUACAGGGGCAUUGACACUGAGGCACGAAAGCGUGGGGAUCAAACAGG